UGAAACCAUUUGAGGGGAAAAAAGCCAUAGGCUAUAUACCUUUGGUCUUGAUUAACCCAAAGAAAAAGCACUGGCAUACUCUGUGCCAGCAUCCGCGAUUAUACAGAGGGUGCAAGCGUUAAUCUGAAUUACUGGGCGUAAAGCGUGCGUAGUAGGUUAUCUAAGUCGGGUGUGAAAUCUCCGGGCUCAACAUGGGAAUUGCAUUCGAUACGGAUAGCUAGAGUUCGGCAGAGGAAGCAGAAUAUCCGGUGUAGCGGUGGAAUGCGUAGAUAUCGGAAGAACAUCAGUGGUGAAAGCGGCUUCCUGGACCAGAACUGACGAUCAGGCACGAAAGCGUGGGGAGCAAAACAGGAUUAGAUACCAUGGUAGUCCACGCCAUAAACGAUGACAACUAGACGUUGGGAGGGUAAGCCUCACAGUGUCGCAGCUAACGCGUUAAGUUGUCCGCCUGGGGAGUACGGCCGCAAGGUUGAAAUCAAAAGGAAUUGACGGGGACCCGCACAAGCGGUGGAGCAUGUGGUUUAAUUCGAUGCAACGCGAAGAACCUUACCUGGCCUUGACAUCUGUCGAAUCCUUCAGAGAUGAGGGAGUGCCUUCGGGAACGACAAGACAGGUGCUGCAUGGCUGUCGUCAGCUCGUGUCGUGAGAUGUUGGGUUAAGUCCCGCAACGAGCGCAACCCUUGUCCUUAGUCGCCAUCAUUAAGUUGGGAACUCUAAGGAGACCGCCGGUGACAAACCGGAGGAAGGUGGGGAUGACGUCAAGUCAUCAUGGCCUUUAUGGCCAGGGCUACACACGUGCUACAAUGGCAGGUACAGAGGGAAGCCAACCGGCGACGGGGAGCUAAUCCCAGAAAGCCUGUCUUAGUCCGGAUUGGAGUCUGCAACUCGACUCCAUGAAGUUGGAAUCGCUAGUAAUCGCAGAUCAGCAUUGCUGCGGGGAAUACGUUCCCGGGUCUUGUACACACCGCCCGUCACACCAUGGGAGUUGAUUGCACCAGAAGCAGGUAGCCUGACCGCAAGGAGGGCGCUACCAUAGGUUGUCAAGAACGAA
Molecule: ribosomal RNA, 1051 nt
Filed under: uncultured bacterium
Lineage: Bacteria
Description: bacterial SSU rRNA
Rfam family: Bacterial small subunit ribosomal RNA
Source: RNAcentral